CUAUAAAAAGGUUGCUGCGCAGCUCGCUCGUUACAGUUAUCUGGUGUGCGUUGCAGCGAUACGUCAUAGUGUUCGAAAAUUAGGCAGCAGUAAAGGUGUGUGUGUGUGUAUACCAAAUUUUUUUCUUGAAUCACCUGAAUAUACAAAUUGAAAAAGUAUAAAAAUGGUUGCAUACUACGACGAAUGCGACGCCGCAGAAAAUCCCAAAACAUUAACAGAUUGGUCGCAAUCAUGUGCAAGGCUGUUAUAGAUUGUAAUGAAAUAAUGAAGGAUUGGAAGAGUGUGAGAAGACGAUGAGCAAACGGCCUUCAAUUCAUUGAAAUGGUGUGAGUCAUUGGCGCUGCUUCAUGAAAUCCAUGCUGAACGCCACCAGAAAGAGGCUUUGGUUCAGGAUUCACACUCGUUUCCUGCUCCUCGAUACGUUAAUGGCAACGAUGAGGAGGAAUGGAAUACUUGAACAAGCAACCACAACGUCAACAGCCUGAAGCUGAAACCGAAACCCAAACGAAAUGCCUUAAAAUGGCUUAUAAAGAAGUUACGUCGAUCGACGAUGGUUUGUUAUUGAGUUACUGAGUGAGUCUUCACGUCUGUCCGUGUCUUCCCCAACCUCAACGCUUGGCAGCGAGUUCCGUAAACCAGCCGAUGGCCGAUUCUACACAGAUCGCCGGAGCAGCGAGCAGCGAGCAGCAGCAGCAAACACCACCGAGUCUCCCCUGCAUGACAUGCCAAUGCCACAGGCAGCUGACAAAGAACAAUGGGGACAAGGCGGAAUUGCGAGCGGCAGCAGCUCCAGCUCAUCAGCUUACGUGUGAUUGAAGCUCUCGUGCCCAUGUCGGUGCUGAAUUCACCAGCUACCACGACAUUUCUACAUAGAACGCUUCGCAGUUGCUGACCACACCACCCACCCAUCCACACAGAUACACGGUAUUUGGUAUAUCAGCUGCGAACGAAAAAUAUUGCUUUUUGAACA
This is a long non-coding RNA of Drosophila pseudoobscura, 970 nucleotides long. RefSeq lists it as uncharacterized. NCBI's taxonomy places the organism in Eukaryota, Metazoa, Arthropoda, Insecta, Diptera, Drosophilidae. The transcript has 3 exons. The record is from RefSeq and is a predicted model, not a curated record.